Hyla sarda is the source of this 184-nucleotide small nuclear RNA. RefSeq annotates it as U2 spliceosomal RNA. Lineage: Eukaryota; Metazoa; Chordata; Amphibia; Anura; Hylidae. The transcript has a single exon. The record is from RefSeq and is a predicted model, not a curated record.
AUCACUUCUCUGCCUUUUGGCUAAGAUCAAGUGUAGUAUCUGUUCUUAUCAGGUAGUCCACUAGUAGGAAUAAAUGGCUACAUUGAGGAGCAGGUGUACUGGGGCGUUCCGGGGCUGGUGCCACAGGACCAGCUCAACGGCUGCCCUGAUGUGACCUUUUUCCUCCGGGUCUCGCCAUGGGGCU